CCUGUGACGAAGCGUGAGUGACGGUAAUGGGUAAAGAAGCACCGGCUAACUACGUGCCAGCAGCCGCGGUGAUACGUAGGGUGCGAGCGUUGUCCGGAUUUAUUGGGCGUAAAGGGCUCGUAGGUGGUUGAUCGCGUCGGAAGUGUAAUCUUGGGGCUUAACCCUGAGCGUGCUUUCGAUACGGGUUGACUUGAGGAAGGUAGGGGAGAAUGGAAUUCCUGGUGGAGCGGUGGAAUGCGCAGAUAUCAGGAGGAACACCAGUGGCGAAGGCGGUUCUCUGGGCCUUUCCUGACGCUGAGGAGCGAAAGCGUGGGGAGCGAACAGGCUUAGAUACCCUGGUAGUCCACGCUGUAAACGGUGGGUACUAGGUGUGGGGUCCAUUCCACGGGUUCCGUGCCGUAGCUAACGCUUUAAGUACCCCGCCUGGGGAGUACGGCCGCAAGGCUAAAACUCAAAGGAAUUGACGGA
RNAcentral lists this ribosomal RNA (468 nucleotides) under uncultured bacterium. RNAcentral describes it as "bacterial SSU rRNA". It matches the Rfam family "Bacterial small subunit ribosomal RNA", at positions 439 to 917 of the family's 1533-position model. The record is from RNAcentral.